UUAAACAAACAAGAGCAUAAGGUGAAUGCCUUGGCACUAGGAGCCGAAGAAGGACGCGACAAGCUGCGAAAAGCUGCGGGCAGGAGCAAAUAUCCGUCAAUCCGCAGAUAUCCGAAUGGGGCAACCCACCUACCGUAAUGGGUAGGUACCCUCUGGUGAAUAUAUAGUCAGAGCGGAGGCAACCCGGGGAAGUGAAACAUCUGAGUACCCGGAGGAAAAGAAAGAAACAUCGAUUCCCUCAGUAGCGGCGAGCGAACGGGGAUUAGCCCAAACCGAAUUUAUUCGGGGUUGUGGGCCACUCAACAUGGAUCGUGGAGUAUAGCAGAAGACGGCCGGAAAGCCGCGGCGCAGAGGGUAAAACCCCCGUAAGCGAAAUACGAAACGGACAGAGUGGUACCGGAGUACUGCCGGACACGUGAAACCCGGCAGGAAGCAGGGGGGCCCACCCCCCAAGGCUGAAUACUACCUAGUGACCGAUAGAGAACAGUACCGUGAGGGAAAGGUGAAAAGAACCCCGGGAGGGGAGUGAAAGAGAACCUGAAACCUUAUGCUUACAAGCAGCGGGAGCGCAAGUGACCGCGUACUUUUUGUAGAACGGGCCAACGAGUUACGGUAUGCAGCAAGGUUAAGAUAUUCAGUAUCGGAGCCGAAGCGAAAGCGAGUCUUAAAAGGGCGGAUAAGUUGCAUGCUGUAGACCUGAAACCGGGUGACCUAUCCAUGAGCAGGUUGAAGUAUCCGUAAAAGGAUAUGGAGGACCGAACCCAUGUCUGUUAAAAAAGGCCGGGAUGACUUGUGGAUAGCGGUGAAAUUCCAAUCGAACCCGGAUAUAGCCGGUUCUCCUCGAAAUAGCUUUAGGGCUAGCCUGUAUGAAGAUAGACGGAGGUAGAGCACUGAAUGUUCUAGGGGCCUUCACCGGUUACCGAAAACUAUCAAACUUCGAAUGCCGUUAUAUUGAUCAUAUGGAGUCAGACUGUGUGAGAUAAGUUUCACAGUCGAAAGGGAAACAGCCCGGACCAACAGCUAAGGUCCCCAAAUGUAAGUUAAGUGGAAAAGGAUGUGCAGUUGCAGAGACAACCAGGAUGUUGGCUCAGAAGCAGCCACUCAUUUAAAGAGUGCGUAACAGCUCACUGGUCGAGUGACUGUGCGCCGAAGAUAAACGGGGCUGAAACUUACUACCGAAGCUUUGGAUACGGAAACGUAUGGUAGAGGAGCAUUCUGUAAGGGCAGAAGCAUACCUGUGAGGGUAUGUGGACAUUACAGAAGAGAGAAUGUUGGCAUAAGUAGCGAGAGGCAGGUGAGAAUCCUGCCCGCCGAAAAUCUGAGGAUUCCUGAGGAAGGUUCGUCCGCUCAGGGUAAGUCGGGACCUAAGUCGAGGGCGAAGGCCGUAGGCGAUGGACAGCCGGUUGAGAUUCCGGCACUACCGAGAAUUGUUUGAUUGAAGUGGGGACACAGAAGGAUAAUCCGGGCGCACCGUUGGUUGAGUGCGUUCAAGCGAAGAGGCUGUCAUGCAGGCAAAUCCGCAUGGCAAUAAGGCUGAUUCGUGAUGAGGAGCGAAAAUACAGUAGCGAAGCGGAUGAUUUCACGCUGUCAAGAAAAGCCACUAAAGAGAUUCAAGGUACCCGUACCGCAAACCGACACAGGUAGAUGAGGAGAGAAUCCUAAGGCGCGCGAGAGAACUAUUGUUAAGGAACUCGGCAAAAUGACCCCGUAACUUAGGGAGAAGGGGCGCCUGCGCAAGCAGGCCGCAGUGAAAAGGCCCAGGCGACUGUUUAGCAAAAACACAGGUCUCUGCUAAAUCGAAAGAUGAUGUAUAGGGGCUGACGCCUGCCCGGUGCCGGAAGGUUAAGGGGAACGCUCAGCCGUGACCUUGUCCGUGAGAGGAGAGAAGAAGAACGAUUGUUCGGAAUCAAUCAGAGGAUGGAUGAGGUCAUGGCGAAGGCGUGAACUUAAGCCCCGGUAAACGGCGGCCGUAACUAUAACGGUCCUAAGGUAGCGAAAUUCCUUGUCGGGUAAGUUCCGACCCGCACGAAAGGCGUAACGAUCUGGGCACUGUCGGUGAAAUUGUAGUACCGGUAAAGAUGCCGGUUACCCGCAGCAGGACGGAAAGACCCCGUGGAGCUUUACUGCAGCUUGAUAUUGAAUUUCGGCGUUGCAUGCACAGGAUAGGUGGGAGGCGAAGAAGUCGGGACUCCGGUUUCGGCAGAGCCGCCGUUGGGAUACCACUCUUGUAACGUUGAAGUUCUAACUUGGUACCGUUAACCGGUAUGAGGACAGUGUCAGGCGGGCAGUUUGACUGGGGCGGUCGCCUCCUAAAGAGUAACGGAGGCGCCCAAAGGUUCCCUCAGCGCGGUCGGAAAUCGCGCGCAGAGUGUAAAGGCAGAAGGGAGCUUGAUUGCGAGACAAACAAGUCGGGCAAGGACGAAAGUCGGGCUUAGUGAUCCGGUGGUUCCGAGUGGAAGGGCCAUCGCUCAACGGAUAAAAGCUACCCCGGGGAUAACAGGCUUAUACCCCCCAAGAGUCCACAUCGACGGGGGUGUUUGGCACCUCGAUGUCGGCUCGUCUUCGGUCCCAAGGGUUGGGCUGUUCGCCCAUUAAAGAGGUACGCGAGCUGGGUUCAGAACGUCGUGAGACAGUUCGGUCCCUAUCCGCUGUGGGCGUUGGAGAUUUGAGUGGAGCUGUCCUUAGUACGAGAGGACCGGGAUGGACGUACCGCCGGUGCAUCAGUUGUCAUGCCAAUGGCACAGCUGAGUAGCCGCGUACGGACGGGAUAAGUGCUGAAAGCAUCUAAGUACGAAGCCCCCCGCAAGAAGAGAUCUCCUCCGCAAGGUAAGACCCGUGACAGACGAUCACGUUGAUAGGCCUGAGGUGUAAGUGCAGUAAUGCAUGCAGCUGACAGGUACUAAUCGGUCGAUAGUUUAACCU
RNAcentral lists this ribosomal RNA (2922 nucleotides) under termite gut metagenome. Its description in RNAcentral is "bacterial LSU rRNA". It matches the Rfam family "Bacterial large subunit ribosomal RNA". The record is from RNAcentral.